This is a long non-coding RNA of Pundamilia nyererei, 527 nucleotides long. RefSeq lists it as uncharacterized. The record is from RefSeq and is a predicted model, not a curated record. The transcript is spliced from 3 exons. NCBI's taxonomy places the organism in Eukaryota, Metazoa, Chordata, Actinopteri, Cichliformes, Cichlidae.
GAAUGAAGAAGGGAUCAGAAGCAACAGUAUCAACAUCUCUAUCACUGCUGGUUCUGUGAUCCUGGAGAGUCCUGCUGUUCCUGUGAUGGAGGGAGAAGACGUGACCCUGAGCUGCAGAAAUAAGUUAACUCCCUCAGACUUCAUGGCUGAUUUCUAUAAAUAUGGAGUCCACAUCAGGAACAACUCAACAGGAAGCAUGACCAUCCACAAAGUUUCAAAAUCUGAUGAAGGACUUUAUAAAUGCAGCAUUGUAGGAGCUGGAGAAUCACCAGAGAGCUGGCUCAGUGUCACAGAGACCAAGACAGACCCCUCAUCACAGCCUGGCUGUCAUAUUUACCUCGUCUUACGGACUGUGUUCACCAUCAUAAUGGUGGCUCUGCUGUUGCUGCUUGUGGGACUUCUUCACUCUGGGAAAAUCAGAGCCACAACACCUAAUUUAAACUCAAGCUCAUGAAAUUGCAACUGCUUUUGAUACAUGAAACAGAGCAGGCAAUGGUUAUUAUGAGUAACACAAAUAGACAAUAGAA